AUUGAACGCUGGCGGCAGGCCUAACACAUGCAAGUCGAGCGGUAGAGAGGUGCUUGCACCUCUUGAGAGCGGCGGACGGGUGAGUAAUGUCUGGGAAACUGCCUGAUGGAGGGGGAUAACUACUGGAAACGGUAGCUAAUACCGCAUAACGUCGCAAGACCAAAGAGGGGGACCUUCGGGCCUCUUGCCAUCAGAUGUGCCCAGAUGGGAUUAGCUAGUAGGUGGGGUAAUGGCUCACCUAGGCGACGAUCCCUAGCUGGUCUGAGAGGAUGACCAGCCACACUGGAACUGAGACACGGUCCAGACUCCUACGGGAGGCAGCAGUGGGGAAUAUUGCACAAUGGGCGCAAGCCUGAUGCAGCCAUGCCGCGUGUAUGAAGAAGGCCUUCGGGUUGUAAAGUACUUUCAGCGGGGAGGAAGGUGUUGAGGUUAAUAACCUCAGCAAUUGACGUUACCCGCAGAAGAAGCACCGGCUAACUCCGUGCCAGCCGCCGCGGUAA
Molecule: ribosomal RNA, 500 nt
Filed under: uncultured bacterium
Lineage: Bacteria
Description: partial 16S ribosomal RNA
Rfam family: Bacterial small subunit ribosomal RNA
Source: RNAcentral